ACUCCAGCCCUGCUUUCCUCCCACGCUCCGCCGGAGCCUUCCAUCCAGAGCGGGCCAUCACACACACCUGUCGAUUCCAGCCAGCCCAGUGGGCUCAGCAGAGAAAGCAAGACAGCCCGCACCCCACGAUGCAAGCUCCUGGGAGGGGCACGUUUCCUUGUUUAUCCAGAGAGGCUGGCACAGCCAAUCUGGGGUUCCCCUCCCUUUCUCUGAGGUCGUAGCUCAGCCUGGGGGCUGUGCAACACCAGCCCUUGAGGAGGAAGCCAUUUGUUUCUGGAAUCACCGGUCCCCCCGGUAUAUGAGGCAUAUCCCUGAUUGUCCGUGAAAUCAGGUGGUCCAGGGCCAGGUUGGUCCAUAGAGGUAGCUGUAAGACAUCCUCUGCUCCUGCCCAGGGAUUUCCUCGUAUCUGGAAGCUCUUUCUGCUGCUUGAUUUGGUGCCUAUCAUGGGAAUUUUCGUGGUCUUGAUCCUCGCACACCACCAGCCCUUUCUGGAGUCUUACUGCCCUCCUCGGGGCCCUGAGCAAGACGCAGGGCUGUCUGGGAUUUACAGAGAGCAACAGGAAGACAGCCAUCUGCAAACCAGCAAGCCGACCUUCAGCAGAUGCUGCUUCUCCUGGCACCUUGAUCUUGGACUUCCCGGCCUCCAGAACUAUGAGAAAGAAAUAUUUAAGAUUUCCAGUCUGCAAACCAGCAAAUGGGCCCUCACCAGACACUGCCUCUCAUGGCCCCUUGAUCUUGGACUUCCCAGCCUCCAGAAACGUGAGAAAGAAAUGUUUUAAGUUUCCCAGUCUAUGAGAAUUUGUUAGAACAGCCCAAACUGACUAAGACACUCACUAACAUGGUAUAUUACCAAUCUCUUAUAUUUUGCCAGUCUGAUAGGUGAAGUUACUCAUCUGCAUACAGUCAUUUCUUCUUCUCUGAGUCUCCUGUUCGUGUUUCAUAUGCAUUUUAAAAAUCAAGUUGCUUUGCAUUUUUAUUGAUUUAUAGAAGGUCUUUAUGUAUUCUGGAAAGUAAUCCUGUAUUUUUGACGCUCACUUCUACUCAUCCUAAUACUUUUGAGAAGAUUGGUUGGACCCUCAUUGGAUGCAGCAAGAGACAGGAAGGCAACUCAGGCAGCAAUCCGUGGCAGGCUGACCAACAGCCAGACACACAGGCAGAUUCACCAAGUCAGCAGAAGAACGAGCUUUCCUUUCUUCUAGGGUUGGGAUUCUCUAACAGCAGAGAUGGCACUAAACAGGAGACGUGGGCAAUAUUUGGUCUGUUUACCCUGUGACUACAUCGUUGGCAGAUAGAUACAACAGACCUGCAGUCCCCAAGAAUGUUUUGAAUUUUUUUUUUUUUUUUUGUGAGAGGGUCUUGCUCUGUUGCCCAGGCUGGAGUGCAGUGGUAUGAUCAUGACUCAUGCAGCCUUGACUCCCAGGCCCAAGCAAUCCUCCCACCUCAACCUCCUGGGUAGCUGGGACUACAGGUGUGCACUGCAACACCUGGCUAAGUUGUGUGUGUGUGUGUGUGUGUGUGUGUGUUUUGAUUUUGUUUGUUUUUUUUGAGAUGGAGUCUUGCUCUGUUGCACCCAGGCUGGAGUGCAGUGGCGUGAUCUAGGCUCACUGCCACCUCCACCUCCCUGGUCAACUGAUUCUCCUGCCUCAGCCUUCUGAGUAGCUGGGACUACAGGCGCAUGCCACUAUGCCCGGCUAAUUUUUUUUGCAAUUUUUUUUUUUUAGUAGAGACAGGAUUUCACCAGGAUGGUUUCAAUCACCUCACCUCGUGAUCCGCCUGCCUCGGCCUCCCAAAGUACUGGGAUUGCAGGUGUGAGCCACCACGCCUGGCCCAGUUUUGUAUUUUUAUAGAGGUGUGGUUUCACCAUGUUGCCCGGGCUGGUCUUGAACUCCUGGGCUCAAACAGUCUGCCCACCUGGGCCUCCCCAAGUGCUCAGAUGACAGGCAUGAGCCACUGCACGUGGCCAUCCCAAGAAUGUUUUGAGUGCUCAGGCUCAGUGCAGACUCUUGUUGACUCCCUAGGUUCAUCCCAUUAUAAGUUGACUCUUGGACAUUGCACAGAUGCUUCUCAAAUUCCUCCAAGAUCUUACUUGCCUCGUUUGCGUGUGGUUUAUGGUACUGGCAACACGAGGGUGCCAGAAUGGAGGCAAUCUGUAACAAUAGCUUCACGGUUCCAUUUGCUGGAAUAGUAAUUGCGUUCUAGGUUCAGCCACGCUUGUGGUUACGCAAAUGUCAGCACUUUGCAACCUCCUCCUCCUUAGGUUGUGUGUCUGUCAAGCGUCUCCUCAGAGUUCACUGACUUCAGUAUUUUGAUUUCUACUAACUAACCCAAGAUACUUCCCUCCUCUCAUAAAUAGUUUUACUGUAUGGGCCGAAUGCAGUGUCUCACGCCUGUAAUUCCAGCACUUUGGGUGGCCAAGGGGGACGGAUCACCUGAGGUCAGGAGUUCGAGACCAGCCUGGCCAACAUGGUGAAAUGGUGGCUCUAUUAAAAAUACAGAAAUUAGCUGGGCAUAGUGGCAGGCACCUGUAAUCCCAGCUUCUCAGGAGGCUGAGAUAAGAGAAUUGCUUCAACGUGGGAGGCGGAGGUUGCUGUGAGCCGAGAUUGAGCCACUGCAUUUCAGCCUGGGGAAUGGGGCAAGAUCCUUGUCUCAAUAAAUAAAUAAAUAAAUAAAU
Molecule: long non-coding RNA, 2671 nt
Organism: Macaca mulatta (Rhesus monkey)
Lineage: Eukaryota; Metazoa; Chordata; Mammalia; Primates; Cercopithecidae
Source: Ensembl